GCUAGAGCACUUCGUCAAUGUGCUCCCCAACGAGAAGGCGACAACGUCAAUCCAUAUCAACUUUCGAUGCCCUUGACUGCGCCUACCAUGGUGACCAUGGGUAAUGGGGAAUCAGGGUUCGAUUCCGUAAAGUGACCCUGACAAACGGCUACCACAUGCAAGAAAGGCAGCAUGCGCGCAAAUGACCCACUCCCGACACGGGAAGGUAG
Non-coding RNA from Pelobates cultripes (western spadefoot toad), 209 nucleotides. The record is from the annotation of a GenBank genome assembly. NCBI's taxonomy places the organism in Eukaryota, Metazoa, Chordata, Amphibia, Anura, Pelobatidae.